AGAGUUUGAUCCUGGCUCAGAUUGAACGCUGGCGGCAGGCUUAACACAUGCAAGUCGAGCGGUAACAUUUCUAGCUUGCUAGAAGAUGACGAGCGGCGGACGGGUGAGUAAUACUUAGGAAUCUACCUAGUAGUGGGGGAUAGCACGGGGAAACUCGUAUUAAUACCGCAUACGACCUACGGGAGAAAGGGGGCAGUUUACUGCUCUCGCUAUUAGAUGAGCCUAAGUCGGAUUAGCUAGAUGGUGGGGUAAAGGCCUACCAUGGCGACGAUCUGUAGCUGGUCUGAGAGGAUGAUCAGCCACACCGGGACUGAGACACGGCCCGGACUCCUACGGGAGGCAGCAGUGGGGAAUAUUGGACAAUGGGGGAAACCCUGAUCCAGCCAUGCCGCGUGUGUGAAGAAGGCCUUUUGGUUGUAAAGCACUUUAAGCAGUGAAGAAGACUCCUCGGUUAAUACCCGUGGACGAUGACAUUAGCUGCAGAAUAAGCACCGGCUAACUCUGUGCCAGCAGCCGCGGUAAUACAGAGGGUGCAAGCGUUAAUCGGAAUUACUGGGCGUAAAGGGAGCGUAGGUGGCUCGAUAAGUCAGAUGUGAAAUCCCCGGGCUCAACCUGGGAACUGCAUCUGAUACUGUUGAGCUAGAGUAUGUGAGAGGAAGGUAGAAUUCCAGGUGUAGCGGUGAAAUGCGUAGAGAUCUGGAGGAAUACCGAUGGCGAAGGCAGCCUUCUGGCAUAAUACUGACACUGAGGCUCGAAAGCGUGGGUAGCAAACAGGAUUAGAUACCCUGGUAGUCCACGCCGUAAACGAUGUCUACUAGUCGUUGGGUCCCUUGAGGACUUAGUGACGCAGCUAACGCAAUAAGUAGACCGCCUGGGGAGUACGGCCGCAAGGUUAAAACUCAAAUGAAUUGACGGGGGCCCGCACAAGCGGUGGAGCAUGUGGUUUAAUUCGAUGCAACGCGAAGAACCUUACCUGGUCUUGACAUAUCUAGAAUCCUGCAGAGAUGCGGGAGUGCCUUCGGGAAUUAGAAUACAGGUGCUGCAUGGCUGUCGUCAGCUCGUGUCGUGAGAUGUUGGGUUAAGUCCCGCAACGAGCGCAACCCUUGUCCUUAGUUACCAGCGGGUUAAGCCGGGAACUCUAAGGAUACUGCCAGUGACAAACUGGAGGAAGGCGGGGACGACGUCAAGUCAUCAUGGCCCUUACGACCAGGGCUACACACGUGCUACAAUGGUAGGUACAGAGGGCAGCUACACAGCGAUGUGAUGCGAAUCUCAAAAAGCCUAUCGUAGUCCAGAUUGGAGUCUGCAACUCGACUCCAUGAAGUAGGAAUCGCUAGUAAUCGCGGAUCAGAAUGCCGCGGUGAAUACGUUCCCGGGCCUUGUACACACCGCCCGUCACACCAUGGGAGUUGAUUGCACCAGAAGUGGAUAGCUUAACCUUCGGGAAGGCGUUCACCACGGUGUGGUUGAUGACUGGGGUGAAGUCGUAACAAGGUAGCCGU
RNAcentral lists this ribosomal RNA (1502 nucleotides) under Psychrobacter sp. Nj-77. Its description in RNAcentral is "bacterial SSU rRNA". It matches the Rfam family "Bacterial small subunit ribosomal RNA". Lineage: Bacteria; Pseudomonadati; Pseudomonadota; Gammaproteobacteria; Moraxellales; Moraxellaceae. The record is from RNAcentral.